GAUGAACGCUGGCGGCGUGCUUAACACAUGCAAGUCGAACGAUGAACCCGGAGCUUGCUCCGGUGGAUUAGUGGCGAACGGGUGAGUAACACGUGAGUAACCUGCCCUUGACUCUGGGAUAACUGCGGGAAACUGUAGCUAAUACCGGAUACGACCCUCGGCGGCAUCGCCAGGGGGUGGAAAGAAUUUCGGUCAAGGAUGGACUCGCGGCCUAUCAGCUAGUUGGUGAGGUAACGGCUCACCAAGGCGACGACGGGUAGCCGACCUGAGAGGGUGAUCGGCCACACUGGGACUGAGACACGGCCCAGACUCCUACGGGAGGCAGCAGUGGGGAAUUUUGGACAAUGGGGGCAACCCUGAUCCAGCCAUGCCGCGUGAGUGAAGAAGGCCUUCGGGUUGUAAAGCUCUUUCGGCCGGGAAGAAAUCGCACAGGCUAAUACUCUGUGUGGAUGACGGUACCGGCAUAAGAAGCACCGGCUAAC
RNAcentral lists this ribosomal RNA (482 nucleotides) under uncultured bacterium. Its description in RNAcentral is "partial 16S ribosomal RNA". It matches the Rfam family "Bacterial small subunit ribosomal RNA", at positions 28 to 501 of the family's 1533-position model. The record is from RNAcentral.